Molecule: ribosomal RNA, 199 nt
Filed under: Escherichia coli
Lineage: Bacteria; Pseudomonadati; Pseudomonadota; Gammaproteobacteria; Enterobacterales; Enterobacteriaceae
Description: partial 23S ribosomal RNA
Rfam family: Bacterial large subunit ribosomal RNA
Source: RNAcentral
ACUCAGUGAAAUUGAACUCGCUGUGAAGAUGCAGUGUACCCGCGGCAAGACGGAAAGACCCCGUGAACCUUUACUAUAGCUUGACACUGAACAUUGAGCCUUGAUGUGUAGGAUAGGUGGGAGGCUUUGAAGUGUGGACGCCAGUCUGCAUGGAGCCGACCUUGAAAUACCACCCUUUAAUGUUUGAUGUUCUAACGUU